RNAcentral lists this transfer RNA (29 nucleotides) under Chenopodium album (lamb's quarters). Its description in RNAcentral is "partial tRNA-Leu". The record is from RNAcentral. RNAcentral also lists the same sequence under 42 other names. Lineage: Eukaryota; Viridiplantae; Streptophyta; Magnoliopsida; Caryophyllales; Amaranthaceae.
AAAAUCCGUCGACUUUAAAAAUCGUGAGG